UACGAAGGGGGCUAGCGUUGCUCGGAUUUACUGGGCGUAAAGGGCGCGUAGGCGGAUGACCAAGUUGGGGGUGAAAUCCCGGGGCUCAACCUCGGAACUGCCUCCAAAACUGGUCGUCUUGAGUAUGGGAGAGGUGUGUGGAACUCCGAGUGUAGAGGUGAAAUUCGUAGAUAUUCGGAAGAACACCAGUGGCGAAGGCGACACACUGGCCCAUUACUGACGCUGAGGCGCGAAAGCGUGGGGAGCAAACAGG
This 253-nucleotide ribosomal RNA is filed under the name uncultured bacterium. RNAcentral describes it as "partial 16S ribosomal RNA". It matches the Rfam family "Bacterial small subunit ribosomal RNA", at positions 524 to 776 of the family's 1533-position model. The record is from RNAcentral.